UCUGCGAGGAAAAUGCUCAUUUCCUUUUUU
This 30-nucleotide non-coding RNA is filed under the name Homo sapiens (human). The record is from RNAcentral. Lineage: Eukaryota; Metazoa; Chordata; Mammalia; Primates; Hominidae.